Molecule: long non-coding RNA, 454 nt
Organism: Acipenser ruthenus (sterlet)
Lineage: Eukaryota; Metazoa; Chordata; Actinopteri; Acipenseriformes; Acipenseridae
Exons: 4
Source: RefSeq, a predicted model, not a curated record
CGCCCUGUCAUCACUUCGCCAAGCGGAAUCUGAAUUGAGGUCUCAUACAACUGACGAUAUAGAUGAUUUUGAUGCAGCCUCUUUUGUCAGUGAAACAAGGGCCUUGUUUAGAAGUAGAUCUGUGGACUCAUCACAAAGGACAGGAAAGACAGGCAGAAAAAAAGGACGGCAAAGGGGACAUUUAUGGAAGACUCAUUUUUUCUUACUGCAAAAGAACAAUGAAGAAUUUGUACCACCACCGUCUGAACUAUCAAGACUGACAAGAAAUGGAUUAGAGAACAGAAGGAAGGAUGUUAAAUGAAAGCCGUCAAGUAACAGCAGGAAGCAAUGCAUCAGUGACCCAAUUGCAAGUUCAGGAGCAGGUGCAUAUACAAGAAUUGUCAAAUGGAAAUAUUGGUACAAGGACUUCAGAAAAUCCCAUUGUAGAAGACUACCACCAAAGAGAAAAUGAGGU